UUACGAAAUGCGGAGCCAACGUGUAAAGUGGCAGUGUCGCCAGAAACUACGGUCCUGAAACUGCAGUCUCCAGUUCUGCAGGAACAUUUAACUCAGAAUUUCCUCCAGUGAAGAAAUCACUUUUUUUUGUUUAAAAGUAUUUCCGACAAAGAAAGGGGUAAGACCAGCGUACAGGCAGACUGGCAAUGAGGACUUCUGGCUGAAACCCCGGUCGGCCGGUGGUUCAUGCACUUUACCGGCUCCAAUAACUCCAAGGCUGAAGUUCUUACCCAAUCCUACCUUAGAGCCAAUUAUGGUCUGGAUUUACCGAGAUGGAGGGACCUACUAGCUGCUAAAGGACUCCAGCUUGACUCAGAACUGGCUUUUCUUCUCCAAAGUGCGCUCUUGACCUAUGGCUGAAGGAGUCCCAGCCACUUUGCAGUGACAGUCCAAACGGAUUGACUCGUGCGAACGACCUUGUCCAUCCCCUCUGGACAUCUGUACACUCACUCAGCGUGGACAAUCAAUCCAGCUUUUUAAGUGCAUGCCGUGCCGUCGGUCACCAUGAGAGGGAGCUGAGAUACUCUUUAAUCUCCUGGAACAAAUCGUCCUCCACUCACCUCCCCCCUCCGCUACCUGCUCACCACUUCAUCAAAACCACGGGCACCAAAAUGGCGAGGGAUCCAUCAACUUCCCACGCUGAGAGAUGAUGUCAUCAGCGAGGGACAUGUCCUGGGGGAUUGUUGCUGAUGGCUGACAUGGAUCAGAAACACAUAGCAGAGCGACAGGCGUUUCUGCUGGAAAUGAGUGAUUUGGACUUUUGUUUCUCCUUGACCAACACUCUGCACCCCCCCCCCC
Molecule: long non-coding RNA, 837 nt
Organism: Seriola aureovittata
Lineage: Eukaryota; Metazoa; Chordata; Actinopteri; Carangiformes; Carangidae
Exons: 4
Source: RefSeq, a predicted model, not a curated record